AGCGAACGCUGGCGGCAGGCCUAAUACAUGCAAGUCGAGCGGGUCCUUCGGGAUUAGCGGCGGACGGGUGAGUAACGCGUGGGAACGUGCCCUUUGGUACGGAACAACUGAGGGAAACUUCAGCUAAUACCGUAUGUGCCCUACGGGGGGAAAGAUUUAUCGCCAUUGGAGCGGCCCGCGUUGGAUUAGGUAGUUGGUGAGGUAAAGGCUCACCAAGCCUACGAUCCAUAGCUGGUCUGAGAGGAUGACCAGCCACACUGGGACUGAGACACGGCCCAGACUCCUACGGGAGGCAGCAGUAGGGAAUCUUGCGCAAUGGGCGAAAGCCUGACGCAGCCAUGCCGCGUGAAUGAUGAAGGUCUUAGGAUUGUAAAAUUCUUUCACCGGGGACGAUAAUGACGGUACCCGGAGAAGAAGUCCCGGCUAACUUCGUGCCAGCAGCCGCGGUAAU
Molecule: ribosomal RNA, 451 nt
Filed under: uncultured bacterium
Lineage: Bacteria
Description: bacterial SSU rRNA
Rfam family: Bacterial small subunit ribosomal RNA
Source: RNAcentral